UUAGAAAGAGAGCACAGAAGAAACCGAGGAGGAGGAGCGGUCAGCGGUGUGUCAGCACGCGAGCACAGCGAAAGGGAAAAGAAGGGGUGGGUGGUUUAGGAAGGGCAGCUUUGAAGGUGGAGCCUCAGGUGGUUUAGGAGAGUGGCAGCGGUUGUUGACGACGAGACGAAAGGAAACGAAGCAUUGGUUGGGUAGCGGGAGGAGGUUAGGGGCAGGGGCAGGUGGGGUUAGGCCGGUCGGCGGCGGUAAGGAGGGGUAAGGCCGCCGGGCUUGGCGCGUCCGACGAAGCGCGCGCGCCGGCUGCCCACACCUCCUCCUUAGGUCGCCGUAACGGCCUAAGCCGAGCUCAGGUCAGCCUCCUCCACAGACAGACUGGCUGUCCGCUGUCCCAAACCUCCUCCUUAGCUCGACGUAACGACCUAAGCCGCCGUGAGCAGCUCAACCUCCUCCACAGACUGACUGUCCGAAACAAAAUUAGUUCGUGAAGUAAAGGACGUCAAUAUAUACCUUUUAUCUCCGUGGUUGUCUCGAUACUUCAUAAAACAUAAGUCUACUGUAUUCCUCAUAACUCAGAACAUAUAAACACUACUUUCAACCACGAGAAGACUGGAGACGACCUUAGUUGUAACCAGAGACAUAUGAAAAAGACAGUAAGAUAAGGCAAGACUCUUUCGUCGGUGUUUUACAAUUCCAGAUAAAACCCUCUUCCUAACGACUCGUCGUAUUCGCCGAGGCUCCCCGAAAAUAAAACCUCUCUAAACAAGGUAGGGGAUCGACCUAACACUCUUCAGACGUUACGUGCCUUCUACUCUAGGAUAGAUGGCGACCCAACCUACGUCAACAAAAGUUGUCUCAAGAUCAUAAAUCGUAUGCGUAUAAGAGUAAUCGACGGUAAGAUACAAAUAAACCUCAAGAGGGGAACUUAAUAAAACCUGUUCUAUACGCAGUACUUGCCUAAGGAAGUCGUAGUAACCUCUGUAAGUGUUAUCCUUUAUACUUUCUCUUUAGUUAUACCGAGACCCAGGUAACGCAGCACGACAUGUAGUAUAGACCACAUCGAACGAAAGAAGAUAUAUACCUUAUGUUCGCAUAACGAUCUGACUCCAACGAAGUAGAACAAGCUUGUUGCUCGUUUGUAUCGGUAAAAUGACAAGAACAGGCACCCUAUGGUUUCAGUUGAGUACUUAGUAAGUUGUCACGACAACUCUCAAAGAAAUGUUGCAUGGUACGUGGCUCGAUGGAUAGAGUAGUUCAACAAAUAUUUCAACCAUUUGAAGUCUUCUAUCACUGCCCACGUUUCUUCCAAAUAUCCUUCAAGUUCGUAAAAUUCCCAUGGUGUCAGCUAGUCUGUACGUCUAGGCACUGUAUAGCUACAACAGAAACACCCCACAGUAGUUUAAGCAAGGUCAACAACGGGUGACUUCUCGUUCUCUCCCCUUUUGGAACACACUUUUUAAGUUUGAACUUGAAUGGACGGCUCCUUACACGACGACGAAAACAUAAAAAGUUUUGCGCCAUACGUCGCGAUUAACAUAGGUUUUAAGAGGUCUGUAGGUUAGGAUACUUUACCCAGUGAUCAGACCGGGGUCUUGGAUUUCUGUACAUGACCAGUUUAGAAACCAAUGGCAUGUUCGUCGAAACCUAAGCGGCGUAUCGAUGUGAAGAACCAAGAUAACAAAAAUACAAGUAAAAAGAACAUGGACACUGUAAAUAUGUUCCAGAUUGAGUCGACCUUGUCGACGUUGUUUCCGAGGGAAAGGACUUUCCCAAUAACUUUCCCUUUUAGUACUGGGUCGAUCAUUGACCUAUGGAAGGGUCACACUAGAACGUUUAUAAAAAUAUAUGACAGGGGGGUUGGUACUACUACAAACGCUGUGAUCUCCCUGGAUAAAGAGUGUCACUUUCCUUCUUUUCACGGACAACAUUUCAUAAUAUGAAGUGGUAAACCUUACAGAAGAAGCAGUUACAGGAUAGUCCAAGACGUUAAUUGGUUGACUUACGGAACAGUUCUGGUUUCCUGUAAGGUUACCUCGAACGGUCCCGUUAAGGAAAUGUCCGGUGGAAGAAAUGGUGGAUACAAGACUGGAGUCCUACCCGAUCAGACAGUAGGGUUCAAUACGUUGAGAAACCAGAAUAAACCUUGAAACAUUCCUUUAUAUAAGACUCUUACUUUCUUCUAUCGCUAACCCAGGAGAGCAAAGGCAUAGUGUGACUUGAUGGUUUUCAAGACAACAAACCUGAUAACCCGAAGUGUACGAGACACGAUCGUGGAGAGUAGGACGGGAAAAAUGAUGAGAUGAAGAAAGAACGGAUGUAACACAUGGCUUUAGUCAAGUAGUUACAAAUAACGUGUUCUAUGCUGUGACCACCAGAUAUAACCGGUCAACGCAUGUUACGCUGUUAUAAGAGAGACCACGAGUGGGUCUAGUAGACGGAACCACAGAAACCGGAAUUUCUUAGGGGCCAUCGACGUCCGAAGUGACAUGGUGAAUAGUAGUAGUGAGAAAAUAAGUUGGUCAUAACAUCUUACGCAGAAGACGGCAAUAAGUCCUGAAAGGGACGUGUCCAAAACUAUCUGUACCUGUCUCUUCUGCUCGUUAGUCCAUCUUACCUCGUCUAAGUGCUCCCGGAAGUAAGACGAAUGACAGUCAGGUGGCUGUGCCUUAGGCGGCUACUGUAUAGAAACCUUUUUCAAGGUCGAUAGUCAUGUUGUCUACUUCUACCGUCGCCGUCGAGUCCACUUGGAUCACCGUUUCUUUCACAGCCUGUUGGUCAUUGGCUGAACAGAGUGGGCUGUGACUUUCCCGAGGGACAACUAGCCAAUGCCGCGCGCCACUCUAGUGAGCCAAAGUACUAGCCCGACGUCUUCUCUCCGCACAGCCGCAUUCGGCACCAACCACUUACAUGUAUGACGUAUGUUACACGUGUAUCUUGUUGUGUCUCUCUGGUUCUAUGUGUGUAUGCCUGUAAUGCGACGAGGUUCCUUUUUUUCUUUACCUCACAGCGGACAAAAAGAAGAGAAAGCUUUCAGCUACACAAACGGACAAACCAACGCUCCCACGUUAAAACACAAAUUUAGCUGCGAAUGCGCUGAAAAGUCCGGUAAAAACCGGUACGUGCCUGGGAACUUAACGAACGACGUAACAUUGGAGUCAAUUUGUUCAACAACACGUUCUUUCGUUAGGUAGGUACAGAUGUACACCG
RNAcentral lists this ribosomal RNA (3204 nucleotides) under Triticum aestivum (bread wheat). RNAcentral describes it as "partial small subunit ribosomal RNA". The record is from RNAcentral. Lineage: Eukaryota; Viridiplantae; Streptophyta; Magnoliopsida; Poales; Poaceae.